CAUCCUCUCCAAGCCGUGGGCCCUCCUUGGGUGUCCCCCUUACUGGUGUGAGGCAUCAUACCAACAACUCUCCUCCCUCCUUUGGUUACCUUGCGAAGGUGCUUUGUUAGAGAUUCAUCCCACUUUCCUGCGUUGCCUGGUGUGCGCAUGAAGUAGAGGGCUUGCAGUUUCAGGCCUACUCGAAGGUUGAAUCCAAAUUUUGGAGAUUUAAUCUUCAAUUCUAUUGUA
Molecule: long non-coding RNA, 228 nt
Filed under: Elaeis guineensis (African oil palm)
Lineage: Eukaryota; Viridiplantae; Streptophyta; Magnoliopsida; Arecales; Arecaceae
Description: long non-coding RNA (EGUI_LNC073366)
Source: RNAcentral